Molecule: ribosomal RNA, 497 nt
Filed under: uncultured bacterium
Lineage: Bacteria
Description: partial 16S ribosomal RNA
Rfam family: Bacterial small subunit ribosomal RNA
Source: RNAcentral
GAUGAACGCUGGCGGCGUGCCUAAUACAUGCAAGUCGAGCGAACGGACGAGAAGCUUGCUUCUCUGAUGUUAGCGGCGGACGGGUGAGUAACACGUGGAUAACCUACCUAUAAGGCUGGGAUAACUUCGGGAAACCGGAGCUAAUACCGGAUAAUAUUUUGAACCGCAUGGUUCAAAAGUGAAAGACGGUCUUGCUGUCACUUAUAGAUGGAUCCGCGCUGCAUUAGCUAGUUGGUAAGGUAACGGCUUACCAAGGCAACGAUGCAUAGCCGACCUGAGAGGGUGAUCGGCCACACUGGAACUGAGACACGGUCCAGACUCCUACGGGAGGCAGCAGUAGGGAAUCUUCCGCAAUGGGCGAAAGCCUGACGGAGCAACGCCGCGUGAGUGAUGAAGGUCUUCGGAUCGUAAAACUCUGUUAUUAGGGAAGAACAUAUGUGUAAGUAACUGUGCACAUCUUGACGGUACCUAAUAAGAAAGCCACGGCUAACUACGUG